AUUGUCAAACUGAAAUUAUGCUGAUAUGAUAUACAUAUAUUUUAUAAAUGUUUAUAUUUUAUAUUUUUCAGUUAACUAACAAAUGGAUUCUGAUGAAGAUUUGGAGGCAUUACUAGAUAAUAAGACUGAGAAAGAGGAAGUUCAAGAAAGACUUGCAAAGGAAAAAAAAUCUUUACCUAAAGAAAGUACUAAAAACCAGCAAACUGAAGAUAACCUGCAUGAUGAAAGAAUACAAACAGAAGCCCAAGAACAAACUCCACAGAAAGUAGCUCCAGCACACAAUGAAUUCUAAGUGAUUCUUGAAAGACAGAAGGCAACUGAAUAGAACUAAAAUGCACUAUUGGGCAACACUGCCUAACACAGUAUAGUAAUGCAAACACUAAUGAAGUGGGUAAGUGUCAGAAAUUACUAUUUAAAAACCUUGCCCUACUUUUUGGUGCAAAACACAGCAUCCUCUCUUUUCCAGUAGGCUGAUCUCAUGAACUCAUGAUCUCAUGAAUAUUAGAAGUAGAACUCCAUGAGGAUUUUGUCAGAGACUCCCAUGUCAGGUUCAAGGCUGAAUCAGAGCACAAUCCUAUUAAAUAUACAUUCAUUUGGAAUUUUGCUAAGUGUGUAUCUCUGUAUGUGGUUCAUAUGCAGAAUGCAAGCAUUUAACAGCUUGAAAAACUAAAAAAUUAUAGUUAUGUAUUUUACUGUUAGUAAUAUGAUCUACAGUAUAUACUAGAGGGUCAGUGAAAGAACUGUCACAAACUGCAUUCUAAAAAUGUAUGCUUCCUUGAUUAUAGUUGUGGCUGAAGUAGAAGAACAAGAUACAUUAACUGAAGCAUUACGGGACAGAGUAAAAGAAAAGCUGAAAACUGUCAAGGUGAUAGUUUUAAUUGGUCUGUAACUAAGUGAAAAAAGUGCAGAAUAUUGAUUUAUGAAAGAAAGAAAAAAG
This 937-nucleotide long non-coding RNA is filed under the name Naja naja (Indian cobra). RNAcentral's name for it is "lncRNA (ENSNNAG00000018190.1)". The record is from RNAcentral. Lineage: Eukaryota; Metazoa; Chordata; Lepidosauria; Squamata; Elapidae.